RNAcentral lists this long non-coding RNA (542 nucleotides) under Prunus persica (peach). RNAcentral's name for it is "long non-coding RNA (PPER_LNC007955)". The record is from RNAcentral. Lineage: Eukaryota; Viridiplantae; Streptophyta; Magnoliopsida; Rosales; Rosaceae.
CAAAGACCCUUACCCGUGGGAAAAAUUGCCAUCCCUAGUUACCAAGCUUUGCACGUUAAUAGAAGCAUGAGUUGCUACUCUUCCAUUUUCCUAUGAACUCUCCCUUAUCAAGACCAUAUGAAGCAGGAGGUGUCUAAAGGGACAAAGAAUUAAGGUACUUACUAGAUACGAAAUGAGUUUCAUCAAUUGUAAAGUAAUUAGACUAUUUUUCACUUGUAUAAAACGCAAAGGACCCACUAGUGUAGUGGUUUGGAGUAUUUACUCCUUUAGGGAAGGUCCUGGGUUCGAGUCCUAACAUCCGUGUUAUGUGUGUGAGUUUAAUAUGCCAUCGCCCCUUUCAAAAGAAAAUGUCCUAAAAAAAAAAAAAAAAAAAGAGAGAGACUAGUUUCCACUUGUAUAAAACAGAAGAUUAGUGUUUGAGAGACCACAUUAUUAUAACUCAUUGGACUCGGUUGUAUACAUCACUCACCACACAUGUGCGGCUAUUUUAUCAUUAAUUUAAGGUUUUUUACUUCACCAUAUAACUCAACAUUCCACAAUGC